CGGAUGAUGGAUGAUCGGGAAUCAUGACCCAAUUUUAUGAUCAGUGGCAUGAAUCUUGAAGAGGUCAAGACGGGUAUCCCCUAGUCUCAGAGAGUAAGCAGCUUUCUUGAAUUCACCCCAGGUGAAGGGCUUAUAUUGGCUGGGAUUUUGGGGUGACACCAUCUCUGGCAGAGGAGAAAUCCAUGCAUUUAGUGGUGGUGCCCCAAAGUACAUCGUUGACAUUCUUGCCUUCGUCGAGUUCGCCACUGCUCUGUGCCUCACGCUAGCAAGCCUCCCAUUCGUCAAAACCUGUAACGCGUCUCCAACAAUCAAGAAAAAUCCAGUGGGGUCAGGAGGGACAGGGACCCACAAACCAUCACGCAGGCAAAUUUGGAGGCCCGCAACAUCGUUGGAUCGUAAGAUGGUCAAGAUUUGAGGGUCAGAGUGCUCACCGAAUCCAAUCCUUUUAGGUGAUGGGUCCCAAUCCUUGACUUCUUUGACCGCUGGAUAGUGAUUAACCCUAAGCACAGAAUCGCUAUGGACGUCUCUCAUUAGCCUACUGAACACAUACUUAUCUUCCAUCCAUAAUCCCUCUGCCAAUAGAUCAAGAAUCUCACAUGCCAAUUCUCUAACUUCUUCUACGUAAUCAUUCACAGCACAACUGAAUUUUGCAGGGUCAGAACUGGAGAUGGUUCUUGAUCGCUCAGAAAUGGAGGCAGGAUUCGUUUGAAGGAGAAGAAAUUCAAGCUCACCCACAUCCCCCCCCCCCCCCCUUUGCCGGCGUUUUUUCUUCCAGCCAUAGCCGAAAGGAGUAGCAGGUCCAGCACGUUCCUUUUCUGCGGCUGGUUUUGCAAAAAAAUCAAGACCUUCCUC
Molecule: unclassified non-coding RNA, 852 nt
Filed under: Hevea brasiliensis (rubber tree)
Lineage: Eukaryota; Viridiplantae; Streptophyta; Magnoliopsida; Malpighiales; Euphorbiaceae
Source: RNAcentral